Grammomys surdaster is the source of this 1017-nucleotide long non-coding RNA. RefSeq lists it as uncharacterized. The record is from RefSeq and is a predicted model, not a curated record. NCBI's taxonomy places the organism in Eukaryota, Metazoa, Chordata, Mammalia, Rodentia, Muridae. The transcript has 2 exons.
GGUUCUCCAGGAUCGCGUCACCCAAUGGGGGUGAGACCUGCCCGUGCACCAUCAGUGUCCAGGCAGAAUGUCCUGACCCAGGUUAGGAGCAGAAGUCAAACUGGGGAGAUGGGGAAUCCCCAGCCCUAGGCUUCCCCACCCCUGACCUCACCGCCUGGAGACUAAGACUUUGGCUGAAUCCUGUGCUGCGGACAGAGCGCUAUUUCUCAUGAUGUCUCCGAGUUCUGACCCACAAGCUGUCAGGACACGAGGAGAGACCCACAGGCCAGACUCUCUGUCUCCUCUCCUCCACCCUUCCUCUUCUUCUCUUCAGAAGUCAGACCCCCGGACUCUUCUAGAAGAAAAGCCACUUCCGGGACUACAAUGAUGACACAAGCAGUUGAGGAUGCAGUGGAGAGAUGCUCCUCCUUAAAGCAGAGGCGCUGGCCUGCAAGCCCCACAUGGACUUUAUAGAGACCAAUCUCUCUUGGCCUGCCAUUGGAGACUCACAUUGCCAAGCCUGAGUGAAGGACUCUCAUCUGUAAAGAGGCGACUUUGCCUCCUCCCUCAGGAUCUGUCGUUUCAGCCUUGGCCAAGACUCAGUUCUUCACACGAAAUGUCUGUGGCUCCAGUUGUUGAGAUCCACUUGUGGUAACACCAGCAUUGAGAGAAACUCUCCAAAGAAUUGCUCCUGAGGUUCCUGCGGCUUCUUGGUUGGUGAGCCUUACAGUUUCUUCAGGAUUGAACUACAGUUGCUGGGUCAAGCAUGGUGUCUGCCCUCCAGCAGGACUGGACUGAAGCUGCUGUUACCUGUGUGGGGUCUGCUGAUCAAGAAGACUGGACUGCAGCUGUUGAUUGGUAUUUGCUGUUUGCUAUGGGACUGAAUGCUGACAAAGAAGAUUGAUCUUGACCCCAAAGAACUAUUGUAAAGCAGGUCCACUUCCCCAUAUCCUAAUAACUUUUCUUUUCCACUACCUCUUCUGGGUGGUGGGCAAAAGGAGAGGUUGAACAUUUAUUAAAGGAGGUUGGAAAAAUUCA